AGUGAACGCUGGCGGUAGGCCUAACACAUGCAAGUCGAACGGCAGCACAGUAAGAGCUUGCUCUUACGGGUGGCGAGUGGCGGACGGGUGAGGAAUACAUCGGAAUCUACUUUUUCGGGUGGGAUAAGGUAGGGAAACUUACGCUAAUACCGCAUACCACCUACGGGUGAAAGCAGUGGAUCUUCGCACCUUGCGCGAUUGAAUGAGCCGAUGUCGGAUUAGCUAGUUGGCGGGGUAAAGGCCCACCAAGGCGACGAUCCGUAGCUGGUCUGAGAGGAUGAUCAGCCACACGGGAGCUGAGACACGGACCAGACUCCUACGGGAGGCAGCAGUGGGGAAUAUUGGACAAUGGGCGCAAGCCUGAUCCAGCCAUACCGCGUGGGUGAAGAAGGCCUUCGGGUUGGAAAGCCCUUUUGUUGGGAAAGAAAAGCAGCAGGUUAAUACCCCGCGGUUCUGACGGUACCCAAAGAAUAAGCACCGGCUAACUUCGUG
This 492-nucleotide ribosomal RNA is filed under the name uncultured bacterium. RNAcentral's name for it is "partial 16S ribosomal RNA". It matches the Rfam family "Bacterial small subunit ribosomal RNA", at positions 29 to 507 of the family's 1533-position model. The record is from RNAcentral.